ACCAGAGAGGAAGCAGAAGGAAGAAAGAGGAGACAGAAACAGCACAGAUAGAAGCAGCCAGCUUCAAUCCAGCCUAUCAGCAGACAGCAGCUGCUACACCUGUACAGAAACACAGCAGAGAAUUUCCUCCAGCUUUUACAGAGAAACAGAGCUGGCACUCAUCGAGAGUUCCUGCAUUAUAACCAGUCAAGAAGCACAUCACAGCCCCAGCCAGAGCAGCAGAUCCUCCCUCCCAGAAAGAAGAAGA
This is a long non-coding RNA of Melanotaenia boesemani (Boeseman's rainbowfish), 247 nucleotides long. RefSeq lists it as uncharacterized. The transcript has 3 exons. The record is from RefSeq and is a predicted model, not a curated record. Lineage: Eukaryota; Metazoa; Chordata; Actinopteri; Atheriniformes; Melanotaeniidae.